RNAcentral lists this long non-coding RNA (630 nucleotides) under Brassica rapa (field mustard). RNAcentral's name for it is "long non-coding RNA (BRAP_LNC008504)". The record is from RNAcentral. Lineage: Eukaryota; Viridiplantae; Streptophyta; Magnoliopsida; Brassicales; Brassicaceae.
CAUGUUUGAAAAGCUGUUUUGCAUACAUAAGCAUGUCUCAUAUAGUCUAAGUUCAAUCCGAGUGUGUACUGAUGCUAAUGCCUAUGUUUAAUCCAUCAAUGAAAGUCUAGCAUCAAUUAGAAAUUGUCUAAGUUGCUUGCAUCAUUGGUUUUGAUUGAAACUGUUGUGCAUAGCUUUAAUAUGUCUCAUGGAUUGAACCUGUUGCAUUCAUAUAGUUAAUGCUUUAGGAUUGUGCAUUCAUGAAUUGAUGCAUUUAAAAAAAAAAAACUAGCCUAAAUUGUCAAUGUAUUAGUAAAGCUUGCAUUGUCAUUUUAGAGAUUGAAAUCUGCUUGUUCUUGCCUUGAUUGAUUGGCUUGUUUCAAGUUUAUAUAUUGUUGUGGCAUUGGUGAUCAAACAGGAUGAAUUAUCUUGGUUUGAUCCCAAUGGGAUGAUCUGAUCUUGCAUUGAGUUGUGGUGGUGUUAGGUACACAAGGAAAGUGAUACAUGUAACUCGCCAACAGCCAAGAAUGUAGAGACAAAGGUCUUGUGCCAUUGCAUAUCAUCACUAGGACAUGUUAGUCCAUAAUCUACAGGAAGUGUAGUGUGAUUGAUUAUGCAAUGAGAGAUGGCCAUUGCAUAAUACCAUUGGAC